Molecule: ribosomal RNA, 253 nt
Filed under: uncultured bacterium
Lineage: Bacteria
Description: partial 16S ribosomal RNA
Rfam family: Bacterial small subunit ribosomal RNA
Source: RNAcentral
AACGUAGGAGACAAACGUUAUCCGGAAUCACUGGGCUUAAAGGGCGCGUAGGCGGGCCGUCAAGUCGAGGGUGAAAGCCCCCAGCUCAACUGGGGAAGUGCCUUUGAUACUGGCGGUCUCGAGGGGGAUAGGGGCGUGCGGAACUUCCGGUGGAGCGGUGAAAUGCGUAGAUAUCGGAAGGAACACCGGUGGCGAAAGCGGCGCGCUGGAUCCCUUCUGACGCUGAGGCGCGAAAGCUAGGGGAGCAAACGGG